This is a long non-coding RNA of Protopterus annectens (West African lungfish), 1107 nucleotides long. RefSeq lists it as uncharacterized. The transcript is spliced from 2 exons. Lineage: Eukaryota; Metazoa; Chordata; Ceratodontiformes; Protopteridae. The record is from RefSeq and is a predicted model, not a curated record.
GGCCUCGCGGCCCAGCAGAGUUCCACGAGGCCGGGAAGGAUCGGAGGGAGGUCCCCCCGAGAGGCUCAGAGAGCACGGGGGACACAGAGCGAUUCGGCAGCCUCCAGGAGAUAUCUAACCCGGGAGGAGAGCUCUCCCGCCCCGGUAGAAGCGGAAGCCCUGAGGGGGGGGGGGUCCCGUCCCCACGGAAGUCUGGAAGGGAGCGAGGUGCCGAAAACGGCCGGGCUUGGAGAGCUACAGCCUGGGAGACGGGGGCCCGGACCUCGGCCCCUUCCGGGACGGAAGUCCGGAAGGGAGCGAGGUGCCUAAAACGGCCGGGCUUGGAGAGCUCCAUCCCGGGAGAGGGGGGCCCGGACGUCGGCCCCUUCCGGGACGGAAGUCCGGAAGGGAGAGAGGUGGCAAAAACGGCCGGGCUUGGAGAGCUCCAUCCCGGGAGAGGGGGGCCCGGACCUCGGCCCCUUCCGGGACGGAAGUCCGGAAGGGAGAGAGGGUGCGAGAUCGGCCGGGCCGGGAGCGCUCCCGCCUGGGUGAGGGGGUCCCGACCGCCCCCCUCCAGGUGGAAGUCCUCAAGGGAGCGACCCGCCGGAGUCCGCGGGACCCCGAGGGCUCCUGCCCGGCCACGGGGGAGGGCGUCCGACCUCCCCCGGUACCCGACGGCGUCCUCGAAAUAUCGCAAAGUGCCCGGAACCCCAAUGGACGGGAAAGCGCGGGGCCGCGGAAGCCCCGAUGAGAGCGGAUCUGCCCCUCCGCGGCCGGGGGGAGUUCCGCGGGGCCGGCCGGGAUCGGAGCGAGGUCCCCCGGGAGGCUCCGAGGGCACGCGGGACACGGCCCCGCCAGGCAGCCUCCAGGAGAUCUGGGGGAGACGGGGACCGUGGAGCUCUGGAUCGGAAAGGAGCGGGCCGCGGAAGCCCCGAUGAGAGCGGAUCUGCCCCUCGGCGGCCGGGGGGAGUUCCGCGGGGCCGGCCCGGAUCGGAGCGAGGUCCCCCGGGAGGCUCCGAGGGCACGCGGGACACGGCCCUGCCAGGCAGCCUCCAGGAGAUCUGGGGGAGACGGGGACCGUGGAGCUCUGGAUCGGAAAGGAGCGGGCCGCGGAAGCCCCGAUGAGAG